UCCUCUGUAGUUCAGUCGGUAGAACGGCGGACUGUUAAUCCGUAUGUCACUGGUUCGAGUCCUACGAUUCCUCUGUAGUUCAGUCGGUAGAA
RNAcentral lists this transfer RNA (92 nucleotides) under Escherichia coli. RNAcentral's name for it is "tRNA-Asn". It matches the Rfam family "tRNA". Rfam says of the family: Transfer RNA (tRNA) molecules are approximately 80 nucleotides in length. Their secondary structure includes four short double-helical elements and three loops (D, anti-codon, and T loops). The record is from RNAcentral. Lineage: Bacteria; Pseudomonadati; Pseudomonadota; Gammaproteobacteria; Enterobacterales; Enterobacteriaceae.